AUAUGGUCAUAUAUAUCAGUGUAUAUAGAAAUGUAUCUGUAAACUAUCAACGCGAAAAGGUGUAUCUGCGUGUGUAUAUCAGUGUACAUAUAACUGCUAGAAAGUUUAUAUAUACACGCAUAAACAUAUCAGUAUAUACAUAUCGUAUAUAUACACACUGUAUAUAUUAUAUAUAAACUGCUAAUAAGUAUCUACAAGGUAAAGAGAUCCGCGUCAAUGAUAAGUUUCUUUCAUGCUUGUUGAUUACAAGCAAACUCGAUGAAGAUGAAGCUCAUCAAUAAUAAUAAGAACAAGUACAAAUAAGAUAAAAAGAUUUAGAUGGAUUAUCACAAUUAGGUAUUUAGCAUACCCAACUCAUCAAGAGAAGAAACCAUUCUUAUGCCUAAUUCUAUAUAUAGUAAUAUGGAAUUUUGCCUCAGCAUAUCUGAUUAUAAGUGAUAGCCACAAGCAGUGAUUCAAAAAGCGGACCGCUUAGCGUAGGCAGGCACCCAACGCCCAGCCCAAGGCCUGCUCCCCACUUAGGCGAUAUGGAACCCACCUAGCCGGGUGCCCGCUCAGAGGUGGAAAUUUCUUAUUUUUUUAAGUUGACAAAAAUUGAUCAAAACAUCACCCAUUGAUAUUAGAUUUAAGUUUUGAUGUUUUAUAAAUCUAUUGGGAGGUUUUUUAGAAAAUUUUGAGUCCUUAAAAGCAUCUUUGACUGGGCAUUCGUGUUGGAGUUGACUGAGCCGCCUAGGUUCUGGGCGCCCCCUCCUAGGCGCUGAGCGUCUUGGACCCCCCAGGCCGCCUAGGACCCACUUAGCGCUUUUGAAACACUGGCCAGAUGAAAUAAUCUCCAGCUUUAAUGCCUAAUUUUAUCACAAUUUGAAAAAUUGUAUAUGCAAGAAAAAGUCAUUCAAAGGGAAGAUAAUGAUUCGAAUAGAAAGAAUUAAGAGAAAAAUAAUAAACAAUUAGCAGGGGGCUAGGUUAAUUCACCUUUCUAGCUGCAACAGCCACCUGUGCAUUCAUAUACAUAUCGAUGUACAUAUACGCUAAUAACUGUAAAAACUGAGAAAAAGUGUCUAUACGCGCUAUCAAUGCGUAAGGGUGCAUAUACGUGAGCAUAUAAGUGUAUAUGCUUGUGACUGUGUUUGUGUUUAUGUUUAUGAGUGUGUGUGUGAGUGUAAGUGUUUGUGUAGUAUAUAAAUUAGUGUACAUAUACGUUAAUACAUGUAUAAAUCGAAAAUAAGUGUUUAUAUAGUCAUUUACAUCAAUGUAUAUAGAUCAAUGUACAUAUACGUUAAUACAUGUAUAAAUUG
Molecule: long non-coding RNA, 1295 nt
Filed under: Amborella trichopoda
Lineage: Eukaryota; Viridiplantae; Streptophyta; Magnoliopsida; Amborellales; Amborellaceae
Description: long non-coding RNA (ATRI_LNC002589)
Source: RNAcentral